GCAUUUUCGAGCCGAAAGUGCGAAGCGCCUACGCGGGGAAAUCAGUCCACUGGACUGAUUUCUGAUCCCGCUUCGAUGCAUUGGAAAAUGCGAUAAAACAAAUAGUUAGAGCGCAUCCCGAAAAGUGUGAAACGGUUUUCGGGAAAGAUGCGCG
Molecule: unclassified non-coding RNA, 154 nt
Filed under: Brucella sp. 191011898
Lineage: Bacteria; Pseudomonadati; Pseudomonadota; Alphaproteobacteria; Hyphomicrobiales; Brucellaceae
Description: BASRCI153
Source: RNAcentral